This 180-nucleotide unclassified non-coding RNA is filed under the name Glomeraceae sp. Its description in RNAcentral is "partial contains 5.8S ribosomal RNA and internal transcribed spacer 2". The stretch from base 1 to 71 matches the Rfam family "5.8S ribosomal RNA", at positions 84 to 154 of the family's 154-position model. Lineage: Eukaryota; Fungi; Glomeromycota; Glomeromycetes; Glomerales; Glomeraceae. The record is from RNAcentral.
GUGAAUCAUCAAAUUUUUGAACGCAAAUUGCACUCUCUGGUAUUCCGGAGAGUAUGCCUGUUUGAGGGUCAGUUUAUAUAAAAACUGUGUGGUUGCUGUCUUUCGUGGUGACGCAGCGGAUUUGGGUCGUCUUGCCUUCGGUUAAGUGACUUAAGAUUUUGUAUGAUUUUUUUUGUACGU